This 253-nucleotide ribosomal RNA is filed under the name uncultured bacterium. RNAcentral's name for it is "partial 16S ribosomal RNA". It matches the Rfam family "Bacterial small subunit ribosomal RNA", at positions 524 to 776 of the family's 1533-position model. The record is from RNAcentral.
UACAGAGGUGGCAAGCGUUGUUCGGAAUUACUGGGCGUAAAGGGCGCGUAGGCGGCCUUCUAAGUCAGACGUGAAAUCCCCCGGCUUAACCUGGGAACUGCGUCUGAUACUGGGAGGCUUGAGUAUGGGAGAGGGAUGUAGAAUUCCAGGUGUAGCGGUGAAAUGCGUAGAUAUCUGGAGGAAUACCGGUGGCGAAGGCGGCAUCCUGGACCAUUACUGGCGCUGAGGCGCGAAAGCUAGGGGAGCAAACGGG